Molecule: long non-coding RNA, 768 nt
Filed under: Mus spicilegus (steppe mouse)
Lineage: Eukaryota; Metazoa; Chordata; Mammalia; Rodentia; Muridae
Description: lncRNA (ENSMSIG00000009147.1)
Source: RNAcentral
CACAGAGAUUGGAAGCUGGGGUCACAUAUCUAAGCUUCAGCUACAAGAAGCUAUGAAGAUGAACAUCUGUCUGUGCACCUCUGUGUUGAGAGACAGCCUCUGUUCUGAGUAGAUAUCUGAUGAGAAAUCCUUCCAGCGGAAGGCUAGGUAGGGAAAGUAAACAGCCACUGUCCACAUCAAGCUCUGACAGAUGUGCUCCAAGUCCUAUUUCUAGAUGUUUCUAGUAGGCCUGCCUCUGCCUAUCUGCACCCUGCACUUGAGACCUUGACCUGCUGAAUUCCCUUCCUGCAUUUCCAAGUGAGUGACAACUACUACUUGGCUCAACACAGGUUCCUUAGGUCCUUCCAGCAUUGACAUCCUGACCCCUCCCUUCUUUCUCAUCUCUGCAGACUUGAGUUGGACUCCAACUGAACAGAUACCACCAAGACCUUACAGUCCUGUAAGUGGCCAUGUGGCUGUGAAUCUUCCUAUAGGGUGUUCCCAGGCCUGGACAGAUGAUCCAUUAGUGUCCCAUGAAGUUCCUGUGAAACAGCCAGCCAUUCAUGUCAGAAGCAACGCGUCAGAAACCACCUGUUGCCCUUGCUCUGUGAGGCCACAUAGGAAGCGUCGAGUGGACGGAGCCUGCUGUUUUCAAGUGGCUGAAAGAUGCUGUUGAGCAGAGAAGACACUAGCCUCUGGCUGUCUGAAGGUCACAUUAUCAUCCCCUAUCAUUACUGAUAGACUAUCUGAAUAUGGUGCAUGAUGUAUUUUUAUUACAUUAAUUUACAC